GUAUUACUCCCUCCGUCCCAAAAUAAGUGUCUUAAGUUUAGUACAACUUUGUACUAGAGUUAGUAUAAAGUUGAGACACUUAUUUUGGGACGGAGGGAGUACAUA
Non-coding RNA from Triticum aestivum (bread wheat), 105 nucleotides. Lineage: Eukaryota; Viridiplantae; Streptophyta; Magnoliopsida; Poales; Poaceae. The record is from Rfam.